UCGAGCGAGAAAGGGGAGCAAUCCUCUGAGUAAAGCGGCGCACGGGUGAGUAACACGUGGGUAAUCUGCCCUGGAGUGGGGAAUAACACCGGGAAACCGGUGCUAAUACCGCAUACGAUAACGAGGUCUGCGGACUUUGUUAUGAAAGGAGCAAUUCGCUCUAGGAGGAGCCCGCGGCUGAUUAGCUAGUUGGCGAGGUAAUGGCUCACCAAGGCUACGAUCAGUAUCCGGUCUGAGAGGACGGUCGGACACACUGGAACUGAGACACGGUCCAGACUCCUACGGGAGGCAGCAGUGGGGAAUUUUUCGCAAUGGGGGCAACCCUGACGAAGCAACGCCGCGUGGGUGAUGAAGUAUCUCGGUACGUAAAACCCUUUCGACGGGGAAGAAACCGCAAGGUUGACGGUACCCGUAGAAGAAGCCCCGGCUAACUCCGUGCCAGCAGCCGCGGUAAUACGGGGGGGGCAAGCGUUGUUCGGAAUUACUGGGCGUAAAGGGUGCGUAGGCGGUCCGCUAAGUUGGAUGUGAAAACUCUGGGCUUAACCCAGAGCCUGCAUUCAAAACUGACGGGCUAGAGUUCUGGAGGGGGUAGCGGAAUUCCUGGUGUAGCGGUGAAAUGCGUAGAUAUCAGGAGGAACACCGGUGGCGAAGGCGGCUACCUGGACAGAAACUGACGCUGAGGCACGAAAGCUAGGGGAGCAAACAGGAUUAGAUACCCUGGUAGUCCUAGCCCUAAACGAUGGAUACUUGGUGUAGCUGGGAUUGAAUCCAGCUGUGCCGAAGCUAACGCAUUAAGUAUCC
RNAcentral lists this ribosomal RNA (801 nucleotides) under uncultured bacterium. Its description in RNAcentral is "bacterial SSU rRNA". It matches the Rfam family "Bacterial small subunit ribosomal RNA", at positions 62 to 869 of the family's 1533-position model. The record is from RNAcentral.